This 475-nucleotide ribosomal RNA is filed under the name uncultured bacterium. RNAcentral describes it as "partial 16S ribosomal RNA". It matches the Rfam family "Bacterial small subunit ribosomal RNA", at positions 28 to 507 of the family's 1533-position model. The record is from RNAcentral.
GAUGAACGCUCGCGGCAGGCCUAACACAUGCAAGUCGAGGGUUAAGCCUUCGGGCUAAGACCGGCGCACGGGUGCGUAACGCGUAUACAAUCUGCCUUUUAUCCGGGGGAUAGCCCGAAGAAAUUUGGAUUAAUACCCUAUGGUAUAAGAGCACGGCAUCGUGCACUUAUUAAAGCUACGGCGGUAAAAGAUGAGUAUGCGUUCUAUUAGCUAGUUGGAGAGGUAACGGCUCCCCAAGGCGACGAUAGAUAGGGGUUCUGAGAGGGAUGUCCCCCACACUGGUACUGAGAUACGGACCAGACUCCUACGGGAGGCAGCAGUGAGGAAUAUUGGACAAUGGUCGGAAGACUGAUCCAGCCAUGCCGCGUGCAGGAUGACGGCCUUAUGGGUGGUAAACUGCUUUUGUAAGGGAAGAAUAAGGAGUACGUGUACUUUGAUGACGGUACCUUACGAAUAAGCAUCGGCUAACUCCGUG